RNAcentral lists this ribosomal RNA (406 nucleotides) under uncultured bacterium. RNAcentral's name for it is "partial 16S ribosomal RNA". It matches the Rfam family "Bacterial small subunit ribosomal RNA", at positions 29 to 526 of the family's 1533-position model. The record is from RNAcentral.
AUUGAACGCUGGCGGCAAGCCUAACACAUGCAAGUCGAACGAGUGGCGGACGGGUGAGUAAGGUCUGGGAAACUGCCUGAUGGAUGGGGAUAACUACUGGAAACGGUAGCUAAUACCGCAAACAAACGGCUGUGCCCAGAUGGGAUUAGCUAGUAGGGGGGGUAAAGGAUCACCUAGGCGAAGAUCCCUAGCUGGUCUGAGAGGAUGACCAGCCACACGGGAAUGGAGACACGGGCCAGACUCCUACGGGAGGCAGCAGGGGGGAAUAUUGCACAAUGGGCGCAAGCAUGAUGCAGCCAUGCCGCGUGUAUGAAGAAGGCCUUCGGGUUGUAAAGUACUUUCAGCGGGGAGGCGUUACCCGCAGAAGAAGCACCGGCUAACUCCGUGCCAGCAGCCGCGGUAAUAC